Molecule: ribosomal RNA, 406 nt
Filed under: uncultured bacterium
Lineage: Bacteria
Description: partial 16S ribosomal RNA
Rfam family: Bacterial small subunit ribosomal RNA
Source: RNAcentral
AUUGAACGCUGGCGGCAGGCUUAACACAUGCAAGUCGAGCGAGCGGCGGACGGGCGAGUAAUGUCUGGGCAACUGCCUGAUGGAGGGGGAUAACUACUGGAACCGGUAGCUAAUACCGCAUACCAUCAGAUGUGCCCAGAUGGGAUUAGCUAGUAGGUGGGGUAAUGGCUCACCUAGGCGACGAUCCGUAGCUGGUCUGAGAGGACGACCAGCCACACUGGGACUGAGACACGGCCCAGACUCCUACGGGAGGCAGCAGUGGGGAAUAUUGGACAAUGGGCGAAAGCCUGAUCCAGCCAGGCCGCGUGUGUGAAGAAGGCCUGCGGGUUGUAAAGCACUUUCAGCGGGGAGGCGGUACCCACAGAGGAAGCACCGGCUAACUCCGUGCCAGCAGCCGCGGUAAUAC